This 842-nucleotide ribosomal RNA is filed under the name uncultured Flavobacteriaceae bacterium. RNAcentral's name for it is "bacterial SSU rRNA". It matches the Rfam family "Bacterial small subunit ribosomal RNA", at positions 39 to 873 of the family's 1533-position model. Lineage: Bacteria; Pseudomonadati; Bacteroidota; Flavobacteriia; Flavobacteriales; Flavobacteriaceae. The record is from RNAcentral.
GCGGCAGGCCUUAUACAUGCAAGUCGGACGGUAACAUUGGUGCUUGCACCAGAUGACGAGUGGCGCACGGGUGCGUAACGCGUAUGCAACCUACCUUUUACUAGAGUAUAGCCCAGAGAAAUUUGGAUUAAUCCUCUAUAAUAUCUAUUAAUCUCAUGAUUUUUAGAUUAAAGUUUUAACGGUAAAAGAUGGGCAUGCGUCUUAUUAGUUUGUAGGUGAGGUAAUGGCUCACCUAGACUACGAUAGGUAGGGGCCCUGAGAGGGGGAUCCCCCACACUGGUACUGAGACACGGACCAGACUCCUACGGGAGGCAGCAGUAAGGAAUAUUGGACAAUGGACGAAAGUCUGAUCCAGCCAUGCCGCGUGCAGGAUGACAGCCCUAUGGGUUGUAAACUGCUUUUAUACAGGAAGAAACACUCCGACGUGUCGGAGCUUGACGGUACUGUAAGAAUAAGGAUCGGCUAACUCCGUGCCAGCAGCCGCGGUAAUACGGAGGAUCCAAGCGUUAUCCGGAAUUAUUGGGUUUAAAGGGUCCGCAGGCGGUCUUUUAAGUCAGAGGUGAAAGCCUACAGCUCAACUGUAGAACGGCCUUUGAUACUGAAAGACUUGAGUUAUUGUGAAGUGGUUAGAAUGUGUGGUGUAGCGGUGAAAUGCAUAGAUAUCACACAGAAUACCGAUUGCGAAGGCAGAUCACUAACAAUAUACUGACGCUCAUGGACGAAAGCGUGGGGAGCGAACAGGAUUAGAUACCCUGGUAGUCCACGCCGUAAACGAUGGAUACUAGCUGUUCGUCUAACAUUGGUUAGAUGAGUGGCUAAGCGAAAGUGAUAAGUAUCCCACC